AGAGUUUGAUCAUGGCUCAGAUUGAACGCUGGCGGCAUGCCUUACACAUGCAAGUCGAACGGCAGCACGGGAGCAAUCCUGGUGGCGAGUGGCGAACGGGUGAGUAAUAUAUCGGAACGUGCCCAGUCGUGGGGGAUAACGUAGCGAAAGCUACGCUAAUACCGCAUACGAUCUACGGAUGAAAGCGGGGGACUCGUAAGGGCCUCGCGCGAUUGGAGCGGCCGAUAUCAGAUUAGGUUGUUGGUGAGGUAAAAGCUCACCAAGCCUGCGAUCUGUAGCUGGUCUGAGAGGACGACCAGCCACACUGGAACUGAGACACGGUCCAGACUCCUACGGGAGGCAGCAGUGGGGAAUUUUGGACAAUGGACGCAAGUCUGAUCCAGCAAUGCCGCGUGCAGGACGAAGGCCUUCGGGUUGUAAACUGCUUUUGUACGGGACGAAACGGUCUGCUUUAACACAGUGGGCUAAUGACGGUACCGUAAGAAUAG
RNAcentral lists this ribosomal RNA (488 nucleotides) under uncultured Rhodoferax sp. RNAcentral's name for it is "bacterial SSU rRNA". It matches the Rfam family "Bacterial small subunit ribosomal RNA", at positions 8 to 489 of the family's 1533-position model. Lineage: Bacteria; Pseudomonadati; Pseudomonadota; Betaproteobacteria; Burkholderiales; Comamonadaceae. The record is from RNAcentral.